AGAGUUUGAUUCUGGCUCAGAACGAACGCUGGCAGCGUGGAUUAGGCAUGCAAGUCGAACGGGAACCGGGGUAUUCAAGUAGCAAUACGAGGAUAUCUCGGGGAGAGUGGCGAAAGGGUGAGGAACGCGUGGGUAACCUGCCCUCAAGAUGGGGAUAACAUCUCGAAAGGGGUGCUAAUACCGAAUGUGGUCGUCUGUCGCAUGGCAGAAUGACCGAAGAUGGGGAUCCUUCGGGACCUGUCACUUGAGGAGGGGCCCGCGUCCCAUCAGCUUGUUGGUGAGGUAACGGCCCACCAAGGCUUACGGGUAGCUGGUCUGAGAGGAUGGUCAGCCACACUGGGACUGAGACACUGCCCAGACUCCUACGGGAGGCUGCAGUCGAGGAUCAUUUGCAAUGGGCGCAAGCCUGACAGUGCGACGCUGCGUGGAGGAAUGAAGGCCUUCGGGUUGUAAACUCCUGUCAUUCGGGAACAAGAACGGGGGGACGAAUAAUCCUUCUGAUUGAUGGUACCGGAAGAGGAAGCCACGGCUAACUCUGUGCCAGCAGCCGCGGUAAUACAGAGGUGGCGAGCGUUGUUCGGAUUUACUGGGCGUAAAGGGUGCGUAGGUGGUUUUGUAUGUCGGAUGUGAAAUCCCACUGCUCAACGGUGGAACGUCGUCCGAAACUGCGAAGCUAGAGUGCAGGAUGGGAGAGCGGAAUUCUUAGUGUAGCGGUGAAAUGCGUUGAUAUCAAGAAGAACACCGGUGGCGAAGGCGGCUCUCUGGAAUGCAACUGACACUGAGGCACGAAAGCUGGGGGAGCAAACAGGAUUAGAUACCCUGGUAGUCCCAGCCCUAAACGGUGUACACUUGGUGUAGGGGGAAUUGACCCCCCCUGUGCCGGAGCGAACGCGUUAAGUGUACCGCCUGGGGAGUACGGCCGCAAGGCUAAAACUCAAAGAAAUUGACGGGGGCCCGCACAAGCGGAGGAGCAUGUGGCUUAAUUCGAUGCAACGCGAAGAACCUUACCAGGGCUUGACAUGUAGGUGCACGCCCCGUGAAAGCGGGGAAGCCUUCGAGGGUCCUACACAGGUGCUGCAUGGCUGUCGUCAGUUCGUGCCGUGAGGUGUUGAGUUAAGUCUCGCAACGAACGCAACCCUUGUGCUUAGUUGCCACUCCCGAUGAUGAGUCGGGAAGCACUCUAAGCAGACUGCCCGUGCAAGCGGGAGGAAGGUGGGGAUGACGUCAAGUCAGUAUGGCCUUUAUGCCCUGGGCUGCACACGUGCUACAAUGGGAGGUACAGAGGGACGCAAGACCGCGAGGUGGAGCAAAUCCCCCAAAACCUCCCCCAGUUCAGAUUGAAGGCUGCAACUCGCCUUCAUGAAGUUGGAUUCGCUAGUAACGGCGUAUCAGCUACGACGCCGUGAAUACGUUCCCGGGCCUUGUACACACCGCCCGUCACAUCAUGAAAGCCGUCUGCACCCGAAGUCGCCAAUGCAACCGGCAACGGAGCUAAGCGCCGAAGGUGUGGGUGGUGAUUGGGAUGAAGUCGUAACAAGGUA
This 1541-nucleotide ribosomal RNA is filed under the name metagenome. RNAcentral's name for it is "bacterial SSU rRNA". It matches the Rfam family "Bacterial small subunit ribosomal RNA". The record is from RNAcentral.